This is a long non-coding RNA of Schistocerca gregaria, 206 nucleotides long. RefSeq lists it as uncharacterized. The record is from RefSeq and is a predicted model, not a curated record. NCBI's taxonomy places the organism in Eukaryota, Metazoa, Arthropoda, Insecta, Orthoptera, Acrididae. The transcript is spliced from 3 exons.
CUUGGACAAAGUUAUUAUCCAAAGUCAAGAUUCAUUCAAGAAAGGGGCUGAAUUUUAAGCGAUCUGAACUACAUUCCACUGACGUCUCCGAACGUAGGACAAAUGUGUUAUCCAAGGCCAAGUUUAGUCCAGAAAUGGAUCUGAAUCUUCAUCGACCUGUUUUCUCAAGGACGUGCCCACGUCCAUCUCAAAUGCCAAUAGCUGGA